RNAcentral lists this long non-coding RNA (1503 nucleotides) under Apteryx rowi (Okarito brown kiwi). RNAcentral describes it as "lncRNA (ENSARWG00000013564.1)". Lineage: Eukaryota; Metazoa; Chordata; Aves; Apterygiformes; Apterygidae. The record is from RNAcentral.
AUGUUUAAAUGAAAAAGCAGCAGUACAGCAUUUUCGUUCUUCAUCAUUCCUGGCUGUGCACACCCUCUAAAAUCCAGGACAUGUCAUAGGAAGUUUACUAAUUUUAUAUACAUAAAAUACAGAGAACUUAAGAGGGUAAGGCAACACCGGGCUACAUUGAUGUGAAUUGCCAAUUUAAUCAUGGUUUAAAUCAGCCAGCGGGAAAGCUUCAUUCAGAUAAUGAAUUUCUACCUUGUUUUGUAUUUGUACUUUGGGUGCUGUUUCCCCCCUAAAAAGUUGGCUCCCCUCCCUGUUUGUUAGUAACCAAAGCAACAUAUUUUCAUGCAAGUACAUACCACUUUUAAACGUCCUUUGGCAAGCCUUUGUGCCCCCUGGAGAUGCGUCACACCAGGGCUGGCCAACCUGCAGCUGGUGAGCCGUUGAGCCGCACAUCACAUGCUGGGACCGCAUCCUCUGGCUAACCACAAGGCUGUGGUGGCAGACGGCUGGUGAGUAAUGCCGCGUCCCACUUGUGGGUGGAAGCAGGCCUGUCCCUGCGCAUGAGUGACCGGCCCGGCACCUCCCUGCCAUGGUGCCACAAGCAUCUCCUGGCGUCUCCUGUGUCUCCUGCCCGUGGAGCUCUCUGGGAUCUCCACCCUUCCCCCAGCUCUUGCAGGUACCUGGCAUGAGUUUUGCGCCGCUCAACCACAUGAAGAUUUCAGUCAGUGACUCGAAGGAUCAGAAAGGCUGGCUUCCACUGAUUUACAUCAGAGAAACUCACAUUUUCACAAAUUGCAACGUGCUAACAACAUUCCUAUGCAAUACAUAACACAUCUUCAUCUUACGGAUGAGUAAGACGUUAAGUGAUUGAGGCAAAUCACAAGAAGGACCAUCAGUGGCAGGGCUGGGACCGGGCUGUUGAUUUUCUGAUCUAUCUGAGCCUCACACCCUUGAUGUGAGUACACAGCUUGCCUGUGCGGGAAGGUACACCGGCAGGCUUCAGUUAGUGAGCCCGUCUGACUUGCAGAGAGGAGCUUUUAAUCACAGAUUAAUGAUCAGUGCUUUUUGUUUUCAGCAGCCUAAGCUAAAUCUGGGGAAGCGGAGCAGGGGGGAUGAUUUCCAUGCAGUGCCCUGGCUUGACCCGUCUGCAGCCGCCACUGACUCGGCCGAAGUGACUGUGGUCGCUGCCGCGCUCGGUUGUUCAUCGCUCUUCCCCCAUAGGGAGCGACCGGGCCUCUGUGCUGUCUCUCCCUAACCUUUGCAACAGAAAUUAGCAAUACACCGAACAUCAGCCUGAACCUCCUGACAGAGCAACUGCAACCAAAGUCAGACCAAGGUCUGGGCCAGCACCUGCGCUUGGAGGAAGACGCCCAGGGCACGAUGUGCCAGAUACUGCCAUAGCUAUAUCUAUGUCAGUUCACACCAGUAUUUGCAUUGGUAUCUUUUCUCUCUGUAGACAAUAGUCAAUUCUCCUGUGUUUCUCCCAGCCUUUUGAAGGAAAAUAAAUCCCUGUAGUUAAAAUCA